This 1234-nucleotide ribosomal RNA is filed under the name metagenome. Its description in RNAcentral is "bacterial LSU rRNA". It matches the Rfam family "Bacterial large subunit ribosomal RNA", at positions 1564 to 2808 of the family's 2925-position model. The record is from RNAcentral.
UGAAUACGAGACGCUACGGCGUCGAAGCAGUCUAUGUCAUACUUCCAAGAAAAGCUCGCAAUGUCAUAAACAAAUAAUGCCUGUACCAUAACCGACACAGGUGGGUAGGUAGAGUAUACUAAGGGGCGCGAGAUAACUCUCUCUAAGGAACUCGGCAAAAUGACUCCGUAACUUCGGGAGAAGGAGUGCCUUAUUUAUAAGGUUGCAAUAACAAGAUCCAAGCAACUGUUUAUCAAAAACACAGGUCUCCGCUAAGUCGUAAGACGAUGUAUGGGGGCUGACGCCUGCCCAGUGCCAGAAGGUUAAAGAAGUUGGUUAGCAUUCGCGAAGCUGAUAACUGAAGCCCUGGUGAACGGCGGCCGUAACAAUAACGGUCCUAAGGUAGCGAAAUUCCUUGUCGGGUAAGUUCCGACCCGCACGAAAGGCGUAAUGAUUUGGAUACUGUCUCGGAGAGGGGCUCGGUGAAAUAGACUUGUCUGUGAAGAUGCGGACUACCUGCACCUGGACAGAAAGACCCUAUGAAGCUUUACUGUAACUUGAAAUUGAAAUUGGACUUUAUUUGCGCAGCAUAGGUGGGAGGCGUUGAGAGUAUUCUUGCGGGAAUAUUGGAGCCAUCAGUGAGAUACCACUCUUGUAAUGUUAGAUUUCUAACUUUGGAUCAUUAUCUGGUCAAAGAACAGUUUCAGGCGGGCAGUUUGACUGGGGCGGUCGCCUCCCAAAUGGUAACGGAGGCGUACAAAGGUUUCCUAUGAACGGGUAGAAAUCGUAUCUAGAGUGUAAAGGCAUAAGGAAGCUUGACUGUGAGACCUACAAGUCGAGCAGGGACGAAAGUCGGUCUUAGUGAUCUGACGGUGCUGAGUGGAAAGGCCGUCACUCAACGGAUAAAAGUUACUCUAGGAUAACAGGCUGAUCUCCCCCAAGAGUUCACAUCGACGGGGAGGUUUGGCACCUCGAUGUCGGCUCAUCGCAUCCUGGGGCGGUAGUACGUCCCAAGGGUUGGGCUGUUCGCCCAUGAAAGCGGUACGCGAGCUGGGUUCAGAACGUCGUGAGACAGUUCGGUCCAUAUCCGGUGUAGGCGUUAGAAUAUUGAGAGGAGCCUUCUUUAGCACGAGAGGACCGAGAAGGACAUACCUCUGGUGUACCAGUUAUCGUGCCAACGGUAAACGCUGGGUAGCUAUGUAUGGAGAGGAUAACCGCUGAAAGCAUCUAAGUGGGAAGCCCACCUCAAGAUAAG